GGACUGAAAGACCACACAGAAUUCCUUGUGGUUGAAGCCAGCCAGGGGAGCAUUACAUAAAGCACCCCUUAGUGGCAAGGCCUGUGUGUGUUUCGCCGUGCUCUCUGAGGCCUCCAUGAUGCUGGUUUCCCACUGUGCCUCCUGAGAACACACAGUGUGGGUAGACUACUAGUGUCGAAUCAGUGCCGCAGCUCCUGUACAGGGUCUUCUGUGGCCAUAUACGGCAGAACCUGAUUCUGGAUGUGCAGUUAAUGGGAACAAAGUCUCUGGCUCUGUGGCUCCUAAAAUCACAGUUAAAUGCUAUUUUAAGGAAAGGGCGGAAAGUCCUAAUUGCAUACUACACAGUAAUUAGAGCCAACCUUAUUAAAAACCUGGCAAAAGAAGCUAGAGGUAGCGAAUUUUAAACCAGGGAAUGAAGAGUUAUACAUGCUCAAUAAACAAGUGAAAAACUCAAAAACGAGAGACAAAAAUCAGGAAGAAACCUAUUUUCCAGGCAGAUGGGUGUCCAUUUUAAAAAGUCACCUUGGACCUCAAUAAGAAAUGCCAACAACAAUGAAAACCUUGAUGAGUAGGGCCACUCAACAAUGAUACUCCAAAGAAAGGUAUUUUCUGCUAGUCUCUCAGUCCCAGAUGUCAUACAAGCCACUGGAGAGAAGCUCAUCUCCAUCCCGUGCCCCUGGUACCCUGUCCAUAGCUCAGCUACUAUCCAUCCAAAUGUGGCUAAAAUCAGUGUACCCAGUGACAGCAUGCAAGGGGUGGCUAUCUGUCUCUGGAACCUUUUCUCCUGCUCAUUUUCCAAUGUUGCUUUUAUUUUACUAAAAUUGGGACUGAAACAUCACUCUUACUAGAUUAUAUAUACCCAACUCAUUUGUAAAUGUCAAAGUGGUACUAAUUAAAGGCUGAUGAAUAAGGUAGCUAUGCGGCCAGGUGCUUGUACAGAGGAAACAUCGUCCCAGGUUGAAACACAAAAAGUAACCAAAUGCGUGUAAAGAUAAGGGGAGAAGCAUUUCUCUGAGUGCCCCCAACACUUCUAAACAACACUCCCAAAUGAGGAUAAUCUACAGAGAUGUUGAGGCGCCUCUGGGCCACAGGAUAACUUCUUAAGUCAAAGGUUUAGGAAAAUCCUCUAAGCAAGAACCUCUUUCCAGUCAUUUCAGCUAAACUACUUGUGAACAUGGCUUUGAGGAUGACAGAGCCUAUCAAAGUGAAGAGUCUAGGGGCGCCUGGGUGGCGCAGUCGGUUAAGCGUCUGACUUCAGCCAGGUCACGAUCUCGCGGUCCGUGAGUUCGAGCCCCGCGUCAGGCUCUGGGCUGAUGGCUCAGAGCCUGGAGCCUGUUUCCGAUUCUGUGUCUCCCUCUCUCUCUGCCCCUCCCCUGUUCAUGCUCUGUCUCUCUCUGUCCCAAAGUGAAGAGUCUAAGGCAAUGGGAAGGGAGAUUCUAAAGAGGUGAAAAAUGACUUUAAGAGGACAGGAAACAGGGAUAUUGCUUAAUCCCUGUUUCUGGAGAAAGAUUACGGGCUAUAAUUUAGGGCCCACAAACAGGAAAUGCCCUUCUCACACACUCUUAUCUUUAUUCCUUGGUACUUCCCACCAAAAAUAAAUACCCUAAGAACAUGCAAGUUAAAAUCUCUGUCCUCUAGAGAUAUUAUUGACCAAAGCAGCGUAUCUCCAUGCAGUGAGUGGUUUGCAAACUACAGGCUGUUUUGAAAACAAAUGACAUGGUGUGUGGUGAGAACCUGGAGGCUACAGAGGGUGGAGAGAGAGAGUUAGUCUCAAGUGUGGAGCCGUGAGCAAUUAACUGUCAUGCCUUCAACUAAACUUUCCACAGUUCUGCAAUCCAGACUCAGACAACACAGCAAGGCCACCAAGAAAGCUACUGGUCUCCAGGUCACAAAGGCACUUGACACCUCCAAACACCAUUAUUCUUUCUAUGCCAACCACUCUCAGAUAAGCAAAACAACCCCCACUCCAGGAUCAUCUAACAGUGGCAAGAGGCACAAUUAGUUUUAACCACUUUCUUUGGGACCGAAAAUUCCCAGGUGCAGAGGGAAGAAGGCGAUUGGUAACUGAGGUACUUGGAGACCUCGAGAACCUCAGACUCUCUGAUGGCCCUGCGGUGCUGGCUGGGAUCCUGGCAUCCCAGGAGGACCUACUACAUCAUCCUCAUCUUCCUCCUCCUGCUCUUCGCUGUUUGUAUGGCGCCAGGAGGGCAUGCUCACGAGACGGAGGGUCUUCAGCCCUGCUGGCUCCUUUGGCCACCAACCAAGGCAAAAACAUGACAUAGUGACAGGAAAUUCACAACACAAAAAUGAGAAGGAAAUGAAUGCAACAUUUUUUUUAAAAAGUGAAAAUAAAUAUGAAAAUACCCUCCCACAACCCAAAACAUGCAAAACCAUAUCAAGACCAGAUCACAUGGUUAUAUUGAACACUUAGUCUGAAACACAUCUUCAAUUCUCCAUGGCUGCCCAUUCUCUCUUUUUGUGAAUCAACUAAAGGAGAAGGAGAUUCUGAGAAUAAUCAUGAAAGAGGUAUCUGGAUAGUUCUCAGUGAAGAGAUGAUAUGCUAUGAAUAUCUCCAUAAACAACUUGCACGUUUUCAAAGGUUAGGCAAAGAAAUUAGAUUGGAGUGUUUUCAGACGGUUUUAUAAGCAACGUCACCAAAAAAGAAUCACUUUCAAUAUAAAAUCCCUACAAGUUCAUCAAAUAUCCCAGCCAAAUUGCCCAAAAUGUAACUUUGUGAGUUAAAGUCCAGCAAUGUGAAAGUGACAUUACGAUUACUUAUGAGAUUUAUAAAUGAGGGCCAGAUAAGAAGUGGAAUUCGCCAGUAGUGGCUGUGCUAAUAAACGCAUCUGUCAAUUUAAGUCCAUUAAAAAUUAUAAAAGUAGGGGCACCUGGGUGGCUCGGUCAGUUUAAGCAUCUGACUCUUGAUUUUGGCUCAGGUCAUGAUCUCACAGUCAUGAGAUCGAGCCCCACAUUGAGUACCCCCACAGUGGAAGCAGAGCCUCCUUAGGGUUCUCUCUCCCUCGCUCCCUCUGCCCCUGCUCCACUCAGGCUCUCUCAGGGGGAAAAAUCAUAAAAGUAAUUCUACCGUAAGACAAAAAAGAUGCGAAACCAAAACAAAGGGCCCAUGGGAAGCCAAGCCCCAAUCCUUGAAGAAGGUGAAUAAUACUUAAGGAGCAAAAUCUAAUGUGCUAAAUUCCCUUCUUCAGAAACAGCAAACGCUGACUAAGAAUUCACCAAAGGCAAUGAAUGCUUGAGUUACUUCAGUUCAUGUUUUCCCCCAGAGAUGUUUCCAGUAUUUACCCCUGGACUUUUCUAAAUGAAAACUAUGUUGGGACACCUGGGUGUCUCAGUCAAUCAAGCGUCUGACUCUUGAUUUCGGCUUAGGUCAUGAUCUCAUGGUUCAUGAGACAGAGCCCCACGUCAGGCUCUGUGCUGACAGCAUGGAACCUGCUUGGGAUUCUCUCUCUCCCUCUCUCUGUCCACCCCACCCCCCUCAAAACAAAGAACCCACAAGUGGGGUUAUUUUGAUAAGCCAAGAAGCUCAGGCAGAUUUGUCUUUAGAUACAUAGGUGUUUCCCACAAGCAAUGCUUACUUAACACAUUUGGGAGUAGGCAGGCAUAUUUAAUUAUCCAAGGAAUUCAAAUGUACUGCAUCCAGGACUGUGUUCAGAUAGCAACUUCAGGGGCGCCUGGGUGGCGCAGUCGGUUAAGCGUCCGACUUCAGCCAGAUCACGAUCUCGCGGUCCGUGAGUUCGAGCUCCGCGUCGGGCUCUGGGCUGAUGGCUCGGAGCCUGGAGCCUGUUUCCGAUUCUGUGUCUCCCUCUCUCUCUGCCCCUCCCCCGUUCAUGCUCUGUCUCUCUCUGUCCCAAAAAUAAAAAAUAAACGUGGAAAAAAAAAAAAAAAAAAAAAAAAAAAAAAAAAAAAGAUAGCAACUUCAGUACUUCUCCAAACCUCUGAGAUUCAGUGAAUCAAAGAAGGAAGAAAGUGAGGUGAACUGGAAACAAUAACUCUAUAUACCUAGGAUUUUUUUUUAAGUUUAUUAAUUUACUUUGAGAGAGAAAGAGAGAGGGAGAGCACAUGUGGGCAGGGGAGGGGCAGAGAGAGGGAGAGGGAGAGGGAGAGGGAGAGGGGGAGGGGGAGGGGGAGAGGGAGGGGGAGAGAGAGAGAGAGAGAGAGAGAGAGAGAGAGAGAAUCCCAUGCUGGUUCCCUGCUGUCAGCACAGAGCCCAACUCGGGGUUUGAACUCAUGAACCGUGAGAUCAUGACAUGAGUCAAAAUCAAGAGUUGGACACUUAAUCGACUGAGUCACCCAGGCACCCUUAAAUACCAGGGCUUUUAAUAUAAACUUCAUAUCCUUAGCUGAAUACAGAAAAUAAAACAAUUCACAACAGAUGGGAAAAUAGGAGCACCUAUAUAGACUAGAAAGAAAACUCUAGAAAGAAAAAUAUACCUUACUAAAAAGAAUCUUUAUUUUUUUUAAGUUUAUUUAUUUAUUUAUUUAUUUAUUUAGAGAGAGAGAGAGAGAAAGAGAGUGCACGCCUAAGAGCAGGGGAGGGGCAGAGAGAGAAUUCCAAGCAGGUUCCACACUGUCAGCGCAAAGCCCAAUGCGGGGCUCAAACUCAGGAACUUCGAGAUCAUGACCUGAGCCGAAAUCAAGAGUUGGACACUUAACUGACUGAGCCACCCAGGCAUCCCACUAAAAAAAAAUCUUUAAAUGUGAAUCUAUUGUUCCUGAAAUAGUGUACCAACAAGUAGAUAAAGAACAAAUAAGGAGAAAAAAAAUGCAUAUGAAAGGAAUAAAACCGAUACCUGAUUCCAUCAAGAAAUGAGAAUAUGACAGAUCAAUUCACAUUAAGAUGAAACUACAUCAUUUUAAAACUGUAAGUAUGACUUAGAAGCAAAGUCCACCAAUAAUGUCUUCUACUUCUUUCUCCCAAGUAACAGAGAGCAGGCAGUGGCGGCCACUGUCCUGGCAUUCAACACGAUGGACUGGUAUGUCAUUAACAGGGCCAUGUUUGCGAGGUCACUCAUGAGAAGAAGAGAGAAGCUCACCAGUUUGAUGCCUGAGAGGACCUCCAGCAGAGAGAUUAGGUUGUGGCCAUCCCGCAGAUCUUCAUAAAGAUCAUUGAUGUGCUUGCGGACCUGUGCAUGAGAAUGAAACAGAUUUUUAUUUGGUCUUAAAAUCUCUUAUUAUCUACACAAGAGUUUUUGAUUCUAGGUAAACACAGAUUAAAGAAUUUGAAAUAUGAAACAAUAAUAAAAUUCAGGAAUUUUCAGUUUUGGAGUACAAUACAUAUGAAAUGUAA
RNAcentral lists this long non-coding RNA (5305 nucleotides) under Lynx pardinus (Iberian lynx). Lineage: Eukaryota; Metazoa; Chordata; Mammalia; Carnivora; Felidae. The record is from RNAcentral.